This is a long non-coding RNA of Ficedula albicollis (Collared flycatcher), 296 nucleotides long. RefSeq lists it as uncharacterized. The transcript is spliced from 3 exons. Lineage: Eukaryota; Metazoa; Chordata; Aves; Passeriformes; Muscicapidae. The record is from RefSeq and is a predicted model, not a curated record.
GCCCAGGUGCCACAGUGCCCCAGGUACACCUGAGACAGGUGACACGGGGUUCCCCAGGUGACAGGAGGUGCCCCAGGUACACCUGAGACAGGUGCCACGGGGUUCCCCAGGUGACAGGAGGUGCCCCAGGUACACCUGAGACAGGUGCCACAGUGACCCAGGUACACCUGAGACAGGUGCCACGGGGUUCCCCAGGUGCCACAGUGCCCCAGGUACACCUGAGACAGGUGACACCAUGACCCAGGUACACCUGAGACAGGUGACAGGAGGUGCCCCAGGUACACCUGAGACAGGUG